RNAcentral lists this long non-coding RNA (331 nucleotides) under Bos taurus (domestic cattle). RNAcentral describes it as "long non-coding RNA NONBTAT019483". Lineage: Eukaryota; Metazoa; Chordata; Mammalia; Artiodactyla; Bovidae. The record is from RNAcentral.
UAAGGAAAAAACCACCUACAGAUAUUUUAUUUCUUUGCUGAUUUGCUUUGUGAGCAUAUAGUGGCUUAUACGCAUAAAAUUUAUUUCCUAAAUAAUAUACUUGGAUGCAUUUGAAUCAUGUCAAUUGUAGAUGUAUACUUAGUAAGCAUUCCAUUACCACACUUGUCAAAUAUCUAACAGAUAAGUACUGUAUUUGAUUAGAAUACAUUAUGCAACAAACCACUCCCCUGAAGUUAGAGAAUCUUAAAGCAGGGCCUGAAAAACAUAUAUUAUAUGUAGUUUCCUAGAGCAAAAUAAGACAUUAGAAAUAAACUGAGAAAUCUGAAUAAUG